Molecule: ribosomal RNA, 513 nt
Filed under: uncultured Glomeromycotina
Lineage: Eukaryota; Fungi; Glomeromycota
Description: SSU rRNA
Rfam family: Eukaryotic small subunit ribosomal RNA
Source: RNAcentral
AGCAGCCGCGGUAAUUCCAGCUCCAAUAGCGUAUAUUAAAGUUGUUGCAGUUAAAAAGCUCGUAGUUGAAUUUCGGGAUCAAUAUAUCGGUCGUGCCUCCGGUAUGCACUGGUAUUAUUGAUUUCUACCUUCUGACGAAUCAUGAUGUCAUUAAUUUGGUGUCAUGGGGAAUCAGGACUGUUACUUUGAAAAAUUAGAGUGUUUAAAGCAGGCACACGCUUGAAUACAUUAGCAUGGAAUAAUGAAAUAGGACGUUUGACCCUAUUUUGUUGGUUUCUAGGAUCGACGUAAUGAUUAAUAGGGAUAGUUGGGGGCAUUAGUAUUCAAUUGUCAGAGGUGAAAUUCUUGGAUUUAUUGAAGACUAACUACUGCGAAAGCAUUUGCCAAGGAUGUUUUCAUUAAUCAAGAACGAAAGUUAGGGGAUCGAAGACGAUCAGAUACCGUCGUAGUCUUAACCAUAAACUAUGCCGACUAGGGAUCGGAUGAUGUUAAUUUUAAUGACUCAUUCGGACG